GUAGGUGGCAAGCGUUGUCCGGAAUUAUUGGGCGUAAAGCGCGCGCAGGGCGGUCCUUUAAGUCUGAUGUGAAAGCCCGCGGCUCAACCGUGGAGGGUCAUUGGAAACUGGGGGACUUGAGUACAGAAGAGGAAAGCGGAAUUCCAAGUGUAGCGGUGAAAUGCGUAGAGAUUUGGAGGAACACCAGUGGCGAAGGCGGCUUUCUGGUCUGUAACUGACGCUGAGGCGCGAAAGCGUGGGGAGCAAACAGGAUUAGAUACCCUGGUAGUCCGCGCCGUAAACGAUGAGUGCUAAGUGUUAGGGGGUUUCCGCCCCUUAGUGCUGCAGCUAACGCAUUAAGCACUCCGCCUGGGGAGUACGGCCGCAAGGCUG
Molecule: ribosomal RNA, 372 nt
Filed under: uncultured organism
Description: partial 16S ribosomal RNA
Rfam family: Bacterial small subunit ribosomal RNA
Source: RNAcentral